RNAcentral lists this non-coding RNA (29 nucleotides) under Mus musculus (house mouse). The record is from RNAcentral. Lineage: Eukaryota; Metazoa; Chordata; Mammalia; Rodentia; Muridae.
UCUUGAUGUGUGGCAGUGUGUCCCGAGAU